This 72-nucleotide transfer RNA is filed under the name Camelus bactrianus (Bactrian camel). It matches the Rfam family "tRNA". From Rfam's summary of the family: Transfer RNA (tRNA) molecules are approximately 80 nucleotides in length. Their secondary structure includes four short double-helical elements and three loops (D, anti-codon, and T loops). RNAcentral also lists the same sequence under 1 other name. The record is from Rfam by way of RNAcentral. Lineage: Eukaryota; Metazoa; Chordata; Mammalia; Artiodactyla; Camelidae.
GAGGGCAGAGCUCAGUGGUAGAGCGUGUGCUUAGCAUUCCCAAUGUCCUGGGUUCCAUCCCCAGUCCCUCCA